CCUACGAAAAGAUACCCAGCAGUCAGAUAAAAAUUAAAUUAGUUGGAACAAGAGAUCGAUGAUACCAUAUCGACUGAUGAAUUCGAUUACUUCAAGGACCAUAUGACGAUCUACAAUAUCUACAUAUAUCACAUACAUAUACACCCUUCACACACAAAAAUUCACUCAUAAAAAUGUAACACACUCACAUACCAAAUCUUUUAGAAGUGAAUGUCAUACGAGUCCUGAUAACCCCCGCAGAUACGGAAUGUAGCAGAUACGAAUGAGGCAUCAGAACGGUAAGCGGCAAGGCGACGACGGCCAUGCUGCAAAUGAAAAUUGGCGACGAGAAUGUAGCGAUUCAAAAUCCAAAUAUGUACAGAACUGAAGAAGUUGGGAAACAAAUAAUAUUUUACAUUUUUUAUUUGAACUUAAA
Long non-coding RNA from Drosophila pseudoobscura, 415 nucleotides. RefSeq lists it as uncharacterized. The transcript is spliced from 2 exons. The record is from RefSeq and is a predicted model, not a curated record. NCBI's taxonomy places the organism in Eukaryota, Metazoa, Arthropoda, Insecta, Diptera, Drosophilidae.